AGUAGGGUGAUCGAGAAGUAUAGGUGAAAGAUUGUAAAUCUUUUUAGGAGUAUAUAAAUACUCUCCUACUA
Molecule: transfer RNA, 71 nt
Filed under: Salganea incerta
Lineage: Eukaryota; Metazoa; Arthropoda; Insecta; Blattodea; Blaberidae
Description: tRNA-Tyr
Source: RNAcentral